ACGCGGAGGAUGUCUACAGUCGGCUG
Molecule: non-coding RNA, 26 nt
Filed under: Cricetulus griseus (Chinese hamster)
Lineage: Eukaryota; Metazoa; Chordata; Mammalia; Rodentia; Cricetidae
Source: RNAcentral